CCUACGGGAGGCAGCAGUAGGGAAUCUUUCACAAUGGGCGAAAGCCUGAUGGAGCAACGCCGCGUGCAGGAUGAAGGCCUUCGGGUUGUAAACUGCUUUUAUAAGCGAGAAAUAUGAUGGUAACUUAUGAAUAAGGAUCGGCUAACUACGUGCCAGCAGCCGCGGUCAUACGUAGGAUCCGAGCAUUAUCCGGAGUGACUGGGUGUAAAGAGUUGCGUAGGUGGCAUAAUAAGUAGCUAGUGAAAUCUGGUGGCUCAACCAGAGAAUUGCCGUUGAAACUGGGGGGCUUGAGUAUGUUUGAGGCAGGCGGAAUGCGUGGUGUAGCGGUGAAAUGCUUAGAUAUCACGCAGAACCCCGAUUGCGAAGGCAGCCUGCCAAGCCAUGACUGACGCUGAUGCACGAAAGCGUGGGGAUCAAACAGGAUUAGAUACCCCUGUAGUC
This 441-nucleotide ribosomal RNA is filed under the name uncultured bacterium. Its description in RNAcentral is "partial 16S ribosomal RNA". It matches the Rfam family "Bacterial small subunit ribosomal RNA", at positions 338 to 795 of the family's 1533-position model. The record is from RNAcentral.